RNAcentral lists this ribosomal RNA (669 nucleotides) under Brassica rapa subsp. oleifera. Its description in RNAcentral is "eukaryotic LSU rRNA". The stretch from base 261 to 416 matches the Rfam family "5.8S ribosomal RNA". The record is from RNAcentral. Lineage: Eukaryota; Viridiplantae; Streptophyta; Magnoliopsida; Brassicales; Brassicaceae.
UAGUCCUGGGCAAAGAACGACCCGAGAACGUUGAAACAUCACUCUCGGUGGGCCGGUUUCUUAGCUGAUUUCGUGCCUACCGAUUCCGUGGUUAUGCGUUCGUCACCGGCCCAGUUUCGGUUGGAUCAUACGCAUAGCUUCCGGAUAUCACCAAACCCCGGCACGAAAAGUGUCAAGGAACAUUCAACUAAACGGCCUGCUUUCGCCAACCCGGAGACGGUGUUUGUUCGGAAGCAGUGCUGCAAUGUAAAGUCUAAAACGACUCUCGGCAACGGAUAUCUCGGCUCUCGCAUCGAUGAAGAACGUAGCGAAAUGCGAUACUUGGUGUGAAUUGCAGAAUCCCGUGAACCAUCGAGUCUUUGAACGCAAGUUGCGCCCCAAGCCUUCUGGCCGAGGGCACGUCUGCCUGGGUGUCACAAAUCGUCGUCCCCCCAUCCUCUCGAGGAUAUCGGACGGAAGCUGGUCUCCCGUGUGUUACCGCACGCGGUUGGCCAAAAUCCUAGCUAAGGAUGCCAGGAGCGUCUUGACAUGCGGUGGUGAAUUCAAUUCUCGUCAAAUCGUCAGUCGUUUCGGUCCGAAAGCUCUUGAUGACCCAAAGUCCUCAACGCGACCCCAGGUCAGGCGGGAUCACCCGCUGAGUUUAAGCAUAUCAAUAAGGCGGAGGAACCA